Molecule: transfer RNA, 84 nt
Filed under: Chloroflexota bacterium
Lineage: Bacteria; Bacillati; Chloroflexota
Description: Chloroflexi bacterium tRNA-Leu
Rfam family: tRNA
About the family: Transfer RNA (tRNA) molecules are approximately 80 nucleotides in length. Their secondary structure includes four short double-helical elements and three loops (D, anti-codon, and T loops). Further hydrogen bonds mediate the characteristic L-shaped molecular structure. tRNAs have two regions of fundamental functional importance: the anti-codon, which is responsible for specific mRNA codon recognition, and the 3' end, to which the tRNAs corresponding amino acid is attached (by aminoacyl-tRNA synthetases). tRNAs cope with the degeneracy of the genetic code in two manners: having more than one tRNA (with a specific anti-codon) for a particular amino acid; and 'wobble' base-pairing, i.e. permitting non-standard base-pairing at the 3rd anti-codon position.
Source: RNAcentral
GCCGGGGUGGCGGAAUGGCAGACGCAGCGGGCUUAAAACCUGCGGCCGAAAGGCGUGAGGGUUCGACCCCCUCCCCCGGUACCA